Molecule: ribosomal RNA, 253 nt
Filed under: uncultured bacterium
Lineage: Bacteria
Description: partial 16S ribosomal RNA
Rfam family: Bacterial small subunit ribosomal RNA
Source: RNAcentral
UACAGAGGGUGCGAGCGUUAAUCGGAAUUACUGGGCGUAAAGCGCACGUAGGUGGCGACGUAAGUCGGGUGUGAAAGCCCCGGGCUCAACCUGGGAAUUGCAUUCGAGACUGCAUUGCUGGAGUACGGAAGAGGAAGGCGGAAUUCCCGGUGUAGCGGUGAAAUGCGCAGAUAUCGGGAGGAACACCAGCGGCGAAGGCGGCACUCUGGGCUGGAACUGACGCUGAGGAGCGAAAGCGUGGGUAGCAAACAGG